CCUACGGGAGGCAGCAGUGGGGAAUAUUGCGCAAUGGGCGAAAGCCUGACGCAGCAACGCCGCGUGCGGGAUGAAGGCCUUCGGGUUGUAAACCGCUUUCAGCAGGGAAGAAGCGAAAGUGACGGUACCUGCAGAAGAAGCACCGGCUAACUACGUGCCAGCAGCCGCGGUAAU
Molecule: ribosomal RNA, 174 nt
Filed under: uncultured bacterium
Lineage: Bacteria
Description: partial 16S ribosomal RNA
Rfam family: Bacterial small subunit ribosomal RNA
Source: RNAcentral